GAAAAGCUACGAAGGGUGUGCGACGGAUGCCUAGGGACAGGUGGCCGAUGAAGGACGCGCAAGCGGCGAAACGCCCCGGGGAGCUGCACAGAAGUGUUGAUCCGGGGGUGUCCGAAUGGGGAAACCCGGCGAGGGUAAUGCCUCGUCAGUCAUAGCUGAAUACAUAGGUUAUGGCAGGGAACCGGCCGAACUGAAACAUCUAAGUAAGCCGAGGAAAAGAACUCGAAGAGAUUCCGUAAGUAGCGGCGAGCGAAAGCGGAAGAGCCUAAACCCUAAUGCUUGCAUUAGGGGGUUGUGGGACCGCGUAAAGCGACAAUAGGUUAGUGGAACAUUUCUGGAAAGUUGGACCAUAGCGGGUGACAGUCCCGUACACGAAAGCCGAAGAUAGCUGGCGGUAUCCCGAGUAGCGCGGAGCACGAGGAAUUCUGCGUGAAUCUAUCCGGACCACCGGAUAAGGCUAAAUACCGCCUGUCACCGAUAGUGCAACCAGUACCGUGAGGGAAAGGUGAAAAGUACCCAGGGAAUGGGGGUGAAAUAGUUCCUGAAAUCGCAUCACCCACAAACAGUCAGAGCGCUAUGCUUCGAGCAAUCGAAGAAUGCGUGAUGGCGUGCCUUUUGCAGAAUGAGCCUGCGAGUUGUUUGUGCCGGCAAGGUUAAGCGGUUGAGCCGCGGAGCCGGAGGGAAACCGAGUCUGAAUAGGGCGUCUAGUCGGUACAAGCAGACCCGAAACUGCGUGAUCUAGCCAUGGCCAGGCUGAAGUGGGGGUAACACCUCAUGGAGGGCCGAACUCAUUGACGUUGAAAAGUCUCGGGAUGAGCUGUGGUUAGUCCGGUGAAAUGCCAAUCGAACGCAGAGAUAGCUGGUUCUCCCCGAAAUGCAUUUGGGUGCAGCGUUACGUGUUUUCCUAUGGAGGUAGAGCACUGAAUGGGCUAGGGGCCCUACCAGGUUACCGAACCCAAUCAAACUCCGAAUGCCAUAGGAUUAGCGUAGCAGUGAGACGGCGAGUGCUAAGAUCCGUCGUCAAAAGGAAAACAAUCCAGAUCAGCAGCUAAGGGCCCUAAAUCACCGCUAAGUGUAAAACGAUGUGAGAUCGCGUAAACAGCCAGGAGGUUGGCUUGGAGGCAGCCACCCUUUAAAAAGUGCGUAACAGCUUACUGGCCGAAUGUGGUCUUGCGCGGACAAUGUAAGGGGGCUCAAGCGGUGUCCCGAAGCUCUGGGUUUCCGAGAAAUCGGAAGCGGUAGGGGAGCGUCGUAUUUGCAGUGAAGAUAGAGCGUGAGUACUGUUGGAGCGAAUACGAGUGAGAAUGCAGGCAUGAGUAGCGAGAACACAGGUGAGAAUCCUGUGCGCCGAAAACCUAAGGUUUCCCCCGCCAUGUUCGUCAGCGGGGGGUUAGGCGAGUCCUAAGGUGAGGCCGGAAGGCGUAGCCGAUGGAUAGACGGUUGAUAUUCCGUCCCCGGACGAAGGUUGUCAAGAGGGACGCUUCCAAACGUUCCAUCCCACACUGUUGGUAGUUGUGGGCCCGAAGCGGGCGUGGCACGGUGAAAACGUGCAUGAUCGCUCGCCAGGGGCAAGUGGAUUCUUCGGAUGAAGCGAACUGGAAUAGAUGGGGGCCGAGAAAAGCUCUGACGACAUUAACCUUCGCCCGCUCGUACCGCAAUCCGACACAGGUAGGUGAGUCGAGGAGACUUAGGCGUUCGAGAGAACUCCGGUCAAGGAACUAGGCAAACGAGCCCCGUAACUUCGGAAUAAGGGGCGCCUCGGUGCUGAGCCGAGGCCGCAGCGAAGCAGCCCAGGCGACUGUUUACCAAAAACACAGGUCUCUGCUAAGGCGAAAGCCGAUGUAUAGGGGCUGACGCCUGCCCAAUGCCAGUAGGUUAAUGGGAGGUGUUCGUUACGAUUCGUCGUAGCAAAGCACCGAACUGAAGCCCUGGUGAAUGGCGGCCGUAACUCUAACGGUCCUAAGGUAGCGAAAUUCCUUGUCGGCUAAAUACCGACCCGCAUGAAAGGCGUAACGACUUGGGCACUGUCUCGACCGGAAGCUCGGUGAAAUUGUAGCACCCGCGAAGAUGCGGGUUCCCCGCAGUAGGACGGAAAGACCCCGUGGAGCUUUACUACACCUUACGAUUGUGUUUUGGAUUGUAAUGUAGAGCGUAGGUGGGAGCUUCGGCACCAAUGGAACACCACCCUUUGCACUCUGGAACACUAACCUGUGCCCUCAUCGGGUAUGGAGACAGUCGUUGGCGGGUAGUUUGACUGGGGCGGUCGCCUCCAAAAAGGUAACGGAGGCGUUCAAAGGUACUCUCAGGCUGGUCGGAAAUCAGCCAUCGAGCGUAAUGGUAUAGAGAGUGCUUGACUGUGAGACAUACAGGUCGAGCAGGGACGAAAGUCGGACAUAGUGACCCUCUGGUGGUGCGUGGGCACGCCAGGGUUCAUCGGAUAAAAGCUACCCCGGGGAUAACAGGCUGAUCUUGCCCGAGCGCUCACAGCGACGGCAUGGUUUGGCACCUCGAUGUCGGCUCGUCACAUCCUGGGGCUGAAUUCGGUCCCAAGGGUUCCGGGGUUCACGGAUUAAAGUGGCACGCGAGCUGGGUUCAGAACGGCGUGAGCCAGUUCGGUCCCUAUCCACUGCGGGCGCAAGAGAUUUGAGGGGAGUCGCUCCUAGUACGAGAGGACCGGAGUGAACUGACCUCUGGUGUACCUGUUGUGCCGCCAGGCGCAGACGCAGGGUAGCCAAGUCGGGCAGUGAUAAGCGCUGAAAGCAUCUAAGCGCCAAGCACACCCCAAGAUUAGAUCUCUCACACGGUCAACGUGGUAAGAGCCCCAGAAGACUACUGGGUCGAUAGGCCGCAAUUGUAAGCACGGUAACGUGUUGAGAUAAGCGGUACUAAUAGCUCGAGGGCUUUUUUGAAC
This 2911-nucleotide ribosomal RNA is filed under the name Armatimonadota bacterium. RNAcentral's name for it is "Armatimonadetes bacterium (bioreactor metagenome) 23S ribosomal RNA". It matches the Rfam family "Bacterial large subunit ribosomal RNA". Lineage: Bacteria; Bacillati; Armatimonadota. The record is from RNAcentral.